Molecule: ribosomal RNA, 518 nt
Filed under: Campylobacter jejuni
Lineage: Bacteria; Pseudomonadati; Campylobacterota; Epsilonproteobacteria; Campylobacterales; Campylobacteraceae
Description: partial 23S ribosomal RNA
Rfam family: Bacterial large subunit ribosomal RNA
Source: RNAcentral
AGGUAAGCUACUAAGAGCGAAUGGUGGAUGCCUUGACUGGUAAAGGCGAUGAAGGACGUACUAGACUGCGAUAAGCUACGGGGAGCUGUCAAGAAGCUUUGAUCCGUAGAUUUCCGAAUGGGGCAACCCAAUGUAUAGAGAUAUACAUUACCUAUAUAGGAGCGAACGAGGGGAAUUGAAACAUCUUAGUACUCUCAGGAAAAGAAAUCAAUAGAGAUUGCGUCAGUAGCGGCGAGCGAAAGCGCAAGAGGGCAAACCCAGUGCUUGCACUGGGGGUUGUAGGACUGCAAUGUGCAAGAGGUAAGUUUAGCAGAACAUUCUGGAAAGUAUAACCAUAGAGGGUGAUAGUCCCGUAUGCGAAAAACAAACCUUAGCUAGCAGUAUCCUGAGUAGGGCGGGACACGAGGAAUCCUGUCUGAAUCCGGGUCGACCACGAUCCAACCCUAAAUACUAAUACCAGAUCGAUAGUGCACAAGUACCGUGAGGGAAAGGUGAAAAGAACUGAGGUGAUCAGAGUG